This 671-nucleotide long non-coding RNA is filed under the name Triticum aestivum (bread wheat). RNAcentral describes it as "long non-coding RNA (TAES_LNC017671)". The record is from RNAcentral. Lineage: Eukaryota; Viridiplantae; Streptophyta; Magnoliopsida; Poales; Poaceae.
CAAGUAGUCUUUACCUGCUCUGCCUGGUAGGGGCCUAUGUAUUCAAAUUGAAGCUUAACUUUAUUCUGCCUUUUGUACCCAGCUGGAUUUUAGAUAAAUUUCCAUAUGCAUAUUAUCUGGAUCUGUUGCCUUGGUGUUUUUUUCUUUCAAAAAGAUGCAUAUUGUUAAAUUUGAAUACAUUCCUAGUUAUUUUAAGAGUUCAUAUUACUAAGAAUUAUUCUGCUAUUCUGUAUAGUUGAGAUUUUUUUGUCGCUGAGAUGUAUGCGUGGCUCUGAACGCUCCAUUUUUCUUGUAAAACCUUUUUAACUGGUUACUUGCAACUUAGAAGGAAGAACUUAAUAGUACUCACCUACCUGAUUUGUUUUUAGGACAUACCAGAAUUGUUUAUUAUUAUGAAUCUUAAGUUCUUAACUACUCUGCAAACUCAAAAUUUUCCUUCUAAAGUCGGUUCGAAUCAAUUUUUAUACAUAUUUUGUGUUCUCUGCUUUCCUCAGUUUUGUUCUCACAGUUCAUGAUAUUUAGCAAAAUUCUACAUAUGAGUUUCGGGACAAUCUUGCUUGACAAUUCAAUUCGUUCUAGAUUUGUUAGUUUUGUUCUCACAGUUCAUGAUAUUUAGCAAAAUUCUACAUACGAGUUUCGGGACAAUCUUGCUUGACCAAUUCAAUUCGUUC